GACGAACGCUGGCGGCGUGCUUAAUACAUGCAAGUCGAACGGAAAGGCCCUGCUUUUGUGGGGUGCUCGAGUGGCGAACGGGUGAGUAACACGUGAGUAACCUGCCCUUGACUUUGGGAUAACUUCAGGAAACUGGGGCUAAUACCGGAUAGGAGCUCCUGCUGCAUGGUGGGGGUUGGAAAGUUUCGGCGGUUGGGGAUGGACUCGCGGCUUAUCAGCUUGUUGGUGGGGUAGUGGCUUACCAAGGCUUUGACGGGUAGCCGGCCUGAGAGGGUGACCGGCCACAUUGGGACUGAGAUACGGCCCAGACUCCUACGGGAGGCAGCAGUGGGGAAUAUUGCACAAUGGGCGGAAGCCUGAUGCAGCAACGCCGCGUGCGGGAUGACGGCCUUCGGGUUGUAAGCCGCUUUCGCCUGUGACGAAGCGUGAGUGACGGUAAUGGGUAAAGAAGCACCGGCUAACUACGUG
Molecule: ribosomal RNA, 468 nt
Filed under: uncultured bacterium
Lineage: Bacteria
Description: partial 16S ribosomal RNA
Rfam family: Bacterial small subunit ribosomal RNA
Source: RNAcentral